This 253-nucleotide ribosomal RNA is filed under the name uncultured bacterium. Its description in RNAcentral is "partial 16S ribosomal RNA". It matches the Rfam family "Bacterial small subunit ribosomal RNA", at positions 524 to 776 of the family's 1533-position model. The record is from RNAcentral.
UACGAAGGGGGCUAGCGUUGUUCGGAAUCACUGGGCGUAAAGGGUGCGUAGGCGGGUCUUUAAGUCAGGGGUGAAAUCCUGGAGCUCAACUCCAGAACUGCCUUUGAUACUGGCGAUCUCGAGUCCGGGAGAGGUGAGUGGAACUGCGAGUGUAGAGGUGAAAUUCGUAGAUAUUCGCAAGAACACCAGUGGCGAAGGCGGCUCACUGGCCCGGUACUGACGCUGAGGUGCGAAAGCGUGGGGAGCAAACAGG